Molecule: long non-coding RNA, 894 nt
Organism: Dicentrarchus labrax (European seabass)
Lineage: Eukaryota; Metazoa; Chordata; Actinopteri; Moronidae
Exons: 2
Source: RefSeq, a predicted model, not a curated record
UUCCCGUUUCAUGAGAAUCAAUCACGUCGUUACGUUAUGACACAUUACGGACGUUUGUGUUCUUCAGGGUCGACCGACAUUACGUAACUUUUCUACCUUAAAACGAAGGCAGAACAGACCUUUGAUUCUCUGCCCAGAACUGCUGCUGAAGGUCGGGCUCGCACGCACAGAAUUAUAUUUCUAUGAUAAACUUAGUCGUACUGAAGCUCAGGGACUUUGUGAGUCCGAACAAUGGAAAUAGUUUUGGGCCAUGAGCCGGACCCGAACCAGAAUAAAUAAAUAAAUGUAAAGUUAAUUACAAGCUAAGGUAAACUACAUUGUGCAAAUAAUUAUCAAAACAUAUAAAAAUGUUCAUCUAUUAAAAAUAUUUAAAUAUUAAAUUCAGUUGGGGUCCAAUCAGGAUCGGACGGAGAAUAAAGGCUCUCCUUCGGACCGCUGGGAGGACGAGGUGGAGCGGCGCUGAAAUGGGCGCCAGAACCAGAGACGGGCGAUGUAACCGGGCUCAGCAGCUUCUGUUGGACAGAACUAAUGACGGAGGGUCAGAGGACGCUGACGGACAGACGGCGAGCUGUUGAGUUUGAGGCUGCUUGUUUGAUGUUUGAUGUCAGCAAAGACGUUUUUUAUUAUAAUCUUGAAUUCCACCAGCUGUGGCAUCUGUGUGCGGUAUUUUAUUUUGAAAAUCAACUGGAUUCUCUACGCAGUUUCUGUGUCUGACUUCCUGCCACGUGCGAUCGGCUGCCGGUGUCAAUCAGAUGUUUUUAACCUUUUAAUAUCUUUAAUAUAAUUAAUAACAAAGUCAACCUAAGUGAUGAAAGGUUUUCUCUGUGUAGUGACGAGGACGUAGGAGGAUGCUAACUGCGUUUUCACAAUAAAGCUCCAACCUUAAACCUUGAA